Long non-coding RNA from Papaver somniferum (opium poppy), 415 nucleotides. RefSeq lists it as uncharacterized. The record is from RefSeq and is a predicted model, not a curated record. NCBI's taxonomy places the organism in Eukaryota, Viridiplantae, Streptophyta, Magnoliopsida, Ranunculales, Papaveraceae. The transcript is spliced from 2 exons.
CGGAAAGCCGCCUUGCCUGGAGACUUCGCUGGAGAAAAGCUGCAAAGGCGGGAAUUGGGCUGAUCCUUUGUGACUACACAGGUACAAUCAGAGAAGCCAGAGGACUUAAUGCAGAGUGCAAUUUCUAGAAACAACUAAAGAGAAAGGAGCUGAGGCAGUAUUCCGAUGGGUAACAGAGUGGAGUGGCCAUACAAUCUCGUUUAGAAGCAAUUAUGAACCUACUCUACUGCCACUGGUAGGAAAGUAUGCAACAACAAGGGAACAUAGAUACAACAUAUGCGCGGAUUUUGGAAACAAGUCCAAAUUUGAGAUUAAUUUUGUAGCCCUAGAUUUCAUUUUAGGAUCAAUGUAAUAUGGGCAACUAAACUCUCUGUUUUUGUAACAAAUAUGCAAUACAACAUAUAUGGAAAGACAA